This 322-nucleotide long non-coding RNA is filed under the name Phoenix dactylifera (date palm). RNAcentral describes it as "long non-coding RNA (PDAC_LNC010372)". The record is from RNAcentral. Lineage: Eukaryota; Viridiplantae; Streptophyta; Magnoliopsida; Arecales; Arecaceae.
GGGCACUGUAGAAGAAUCUCUAGAAUGUCUAUCUACGAGGGUAGGCCGUGAAACUCUUCCGGAUCUCUUAGCAACGGCUCGCUUGGGUCCCAUUUUCACCAAAUGCUUCCUUAGGUCUUGAUCCAACGGCUUGGGGAAGCAAUCUUCUACUAUUUGAAGAUGAUUGGAAGAGAUUGGAGAGUGGAAAAUAGGGUUUUAGGAAGAGGACAAGAUGAAACAGUGCCCUAGAAUAGCUUAUGGGUCCCCCUUUUAAAAGUGGGGUCCCGUCGUUGGGUCGACCCCAGUUUCUGCUAGGGUCGACUCAACGUGGGGUCGACUCCAU